GCAACUUGCUUGGUAGUGGGGGUUUCAGCGCGGUCUACAAAGGGAUACUUAAGGAUGGUACUCUUUUGGCAGCAAAGGUAUUCAAUGUACAAUUGGAGGGUGCAUUCAAAAGUUUUGACAUGGAAUGUGAGAUACUCCGGAACCUUCGCCACAGAAAUCUAACCAAAGUCAUCACCAGCUGCUCCAACCUUGAUUUCAAAGCCCUAGUGCUGGAAUACAUGCCCAAUGGGACACUCAAUAAAUGGUUAUACUCCCACAACUUGUUCUUGAAUUUAUUGCAGAGAUUAGAUAUAAUGAUCGAUGUUGCAUCAGCAAUGGAGUAUCUCCACAAUGGCUAUUCAACACCUGUGGUGCAUUGUGACUUGAAGCCAAGCAAUGUCAUGCUAGAUCAAGAUAUGGUUGGCCAUGUCAGUGAUUUUGGCAUUGCAAAAUUGCUAGGUGCAGGGGAGGCUUCUUUUGUUCAAACAAGGACAAUUGCAACUAUUGGAUAUAUCGCUCCAGGUAUAUAAUCAAAAUGCUUUAGAGUUCUCUCAUAUCAUUUAAAUACUCAAAAUAAUUCUUGCCCCUAGAUGUAUAUCAAUACUCUCAAGGAAAUUUUUAUGAUAUUUUUCGAUCAUGUGCAGAGUAUGGACAAGAUGGAAUAGUAUUCACGAGUUGUGAUGUUUAUAGUUUUGGCAUACUAAUGAUGGAGACGUUCACAAGAAGAAGACCAAGUGAUGAAAUAUUUACAGGAGAAAUGAGCAUACAACGUUGGGUUAGUGAUUCCUUUCCAAGUGGAAUUCAUUAGGUGGUGGAUUCAAAUUUGGUAACGCCAGGGGAAGAACAGAUCGACUUAAAGAUGCAAUGUUUGUUAUCUAUCAUGGAAUUAGCUUUGAGAUGCACUUUAGAUAAACCUGAUGCAAGAAUUAGCAUGAAAGAUGCUCUUUCGACACUUAAAAAGAUUAGGCUCCAACUUGUCAUUAGUUGCUACUAGGUGGAAUAUAGUUGUAGUAUAGCCUCUUGUAUGUUGCUUGAUUACAUAUGUUGGUCGUGUUAAGAUUAGUUCAACACAAGUACUUUAGUUUUUUCAAUGAGAAUAUUAGUAACUAUUGUUGACCACUUCAAUCACCUCAGAAGACAUGAUUGAAAAACUUAUUUUUGUUUGAACAAGAAGUUAAAGGAAGAAAUAAAAGUUGGAAUAAACUAUAACUGCUUUCAGGAGUCUUCCAUUAUAAAAAGGAAAGUGAAAAGGAACAAUAAUAUCCCCUUUUAUGCAAAAAAGCAAAGCAAUCUUGAAAGAAAAAGAUUCACUUUCCAAAGGCAGAUUUCACACAGCAAGGUCAAGCCAGAUAAUCAAAGAAUAAAGAGACUUUAUAAUGGUUAGUUGCCUCCACACAACAACUAAUUAAUAGAUUUAUUGACUUAAAAACUUAGGAAGACUUGCAUUUUCUGUUCCAUCACAGAUCAGUAAAGUUGAGUCAUUCUGUUCACUCACAAUUUUCAAUCCUCAGUUUCAUUUUUGCUCUUUUCAGUUUGGACAGUUCACUAAUUUUUUUGUCUGUUAUAGAAAAAAAGUAGCAUCUUCUUUAUACGGAAACUAGUUAGUUUUUACACACCAAUCCAUGUAAAUUAUAGCAAAAGAUAGGGGCAAAAUGGGAGAAAAAGAUCUCUCUCGAUCUCGAUAUAAAUAUAGCAGAUACAAGGUGUUGAUCAGUAUAGAGAAAUAACAAGCUACAUGUAUGAGUUAGUUAGUUAGUUAGUUAAAAGGGUCCAGAUCCCAAGAAUCAGUUAGUAAGUUUGUUAGAGUCAUAAGUGUGUGUAUAUACACUUCAGUAGCUGAUGCAUUAUUCAUUCACGUGUAAAACAAUGUAAAGGCAACUUGAUGUGAGCUCAAUAAUAUCUUCUCUUCCUCUCUUCUUCUCAACUCUUUCUCCAAUUACUUAAGAUCUUAAUCUCCAUUAAUGGAGUUAUCAUGGUAUCAGAGCUACUGAUCGUAGGGUAGCGUUUGUGAGUAUUACUUGACCACUGUAUACUCAGAGUUUAUCACUAAUCAAGUGAGACUCAAAAGGAAGUAUCAAAGGUUCGACUAAGUUGAAAUUCAACUGCAAUUCAUAUCUCUGCACAUGGCGAUUGACAGUGCAAGUGAAGGUACAAAUAGUGGUGCUAUUCCAGUGACUACAUUUCCAAUCAUAGAUCACAAUCAUCCUCUGUUUCUACAACAUACAGAUACUCCAGGUAGCUCUUUAAUUUCUCUGCAAUUAACUGGUUCUGAGAAUUAUGCACUGUGGAGUAGAUCGUUUAGAAUUGGACUUGUAGGUCGUAGCAAGUUAGGAUUUGUGGAUGGUAGAUUUCCUAAAUCUAUGUUUGAACCAGUGUUACAUGAUCAGUGGGAGAAGUGUAAUGCUGUAGUGUUGUCCUGGAUCAUGAAUGUUGUUAGACCAGGAUUACUAAGUUCAGUGGUGUAUGCUUCUGAUGCAAGGAAAGUCUGGCUAGAUCUUAGGGAAAGAUUUGAUACUGUGAAUGGCUCUAGGAUCUUUCACAUUCAUAGAGAAAUUCAUACUCUCACACAAGGAACAAUGUCCAUUGCUGACUAUUUCUCCAAACUGAGAGAUCUCUGGGAUGAAUAUGAUGCCAUUAUGCCCUGUCCAUCAUGUCCUUGUGCAGAAUCAAGGAAAUUUAGUGAACAUUGUGACUAUCAGAGAUUACUUCAAUUUCUGAUGGGUCUAAAUGAGUCUUAUUCCCCACCUAGAAGUCAAAUUCUCAUGAUGAGUCCUAUUCCUACAUUGAACAAAGCCUAUGCUCUUCUUAUGGAUCAAGAGUCUCAAAGGAACCUAGUGCACUCCACUUCACCUGGUUCAGGAACUGGUCUGAUUGAAGGUGCAGCUAUGUACAGUCAUAGGAACACCUAUCAUACAGGAUCAAGUAGUAACGCUGGUCCUAGUCGAGUCUAUAGUGGUGGUGCAAGCUCAUCUGGAAGUUACAAACCUAGGCAGAAUGUGUUAAUAUGUUCUCACUGUGGAUGCAAAGGUCACUCCAAAGAGCAAUGCUACAAAAUUGUUGGCUAUCCCACAGAUUUUAAGUCAAAGAGAAAAGGCUCAACUCCAAGUGUUUCUGCCAACCAGGUUGAGACUUCUUCGGGGAGCAAUCACAGGACCAGUCCUCCUCAAGUGCAGCAAUCUGCAGCUUUCUUCACUCAGGAACAAUACCAACAGAUCCUUCAACUGCUCUCAAAAACUGAUGGUGACAAAUCAGUGGAGUCCCCUGCAAAAGUGGCUUCUGUAGAUGCAGGUAAUUCUCCUUCUGCAUCUUUGUGUUCCUAUGGUCCAGGUGAAUGGAUUAUAGAUACUGGAGCUACUCACCAUAUCACCUCUUCUCUAGCUUCCCUUGCUACUAACAAUGCAGCUCCAGGUGAUUCAACUAGUAAAGUGCACCUACCUAAUGGUAACAUAGUUGCAGUGUCUCACAUUGGUAGCACAUGUAUCUUGGCUAACCAAACCAUAUCCAAUGUGCUGUACUUACCUGACUUUCAAGUUAACUUAGUGUCAGUCUCCAAGAUCACUAAGGAACUCAAGUGCAUGGUGGCACUCUUUCCUGACUUUUAUGUUUUUCAGGAUCUCUACACUGGUCAGGUGAAGGGGAUUGGUAAGGAAGAUCAUGGACUCUACAUACUAACAAGAGGACCUAAUCAAGCUCCAAGGAAGCUGGUCAAUAGUAGUAUGAGUUCUAGGAGUCAUAGUCAUAGCACCUCUGUUGCUAAGUCCAUUGUUUUACCUUCUUUACAUUGUGAGUCAGCUGAUGUAUGGCACAAAAGGUUAGGACAUACACCCAUUGAUAUAAUAAAGAGACACAAAUCUCUUAGUGCAUUAACUAGCAAGGAUAAUUCACAUUGUACAGUGUGCCCUCUAGCUAAGCACACUAAACUCCCUUUUUUCCUAAGUACUACUGUGUCUAAAGGUGUAUUUGAAUUGUUGCAUUGUGAUAUAUGGGGACCAUACAAAGUGCCCACCUACAAUGGAAAAAGGUUCUUUGUUACAGUUGUGGAUGAUUACAGCAGAUAUACUUGGGUGUUUUUACUUGCUUCCAAAGCUUAUACUAUAGUGGUCCUAAGGAAAUUUCUUACACAGGUUAAAAAUGUAUUCUCCACCACUGUUAAAACCUUGAGAACAGAUAAUGGAUGUGAAUUUUUUAGUCAUGUUUUUCAAAGCAUGCUAGGAGACCUUGGCAUUGUCCAUCAAACAACUUGUGUGUACACACCACAACAAAAUGGUGUUGCUGAAAGAAAACACAGAACCAUCUUAAAUGUGGCAAGGUCUAUAAGGUUUCAAGCCUCUAUUCCACUUCAGUACUAGGGUGAAUGUGUUUCCACUUCUGUAUACAUAUUGAACAGGCUGCCUUCAAGAGUUCUUGGUUUCCAAUCCCCGUUUGAAAGGUUGUACAUGCAUCCUCCUUCUUUGUCUCAUCUGAGGGUAUUUGGUUGUCUAUGUUAUGCAGCCUGUCCUAAAGUGUUGGACAAAUUUUCACCUAGGGCAAUUCCUGCAAUUCUUAUGGGAUAUUCCUCCACACAAAAAGGGUAUAUUUUGUAUGAUCUUCAUGGUCAUGAUUUCUUUGUUAGCCGCAAUGUUGUGUUCCAUGAACAUUUAUUUCCCUUUAAGCAUGCUCAAGAAGCAUCAAUCCUAUGUUUCCAGUACUGGAUUUAGUGCCAAGAGAUGACAGUCCCACUGUCAUACCAGGUGCUAAUACUUCACCUACACAGCAGGUUUCUGAGGUGUCUGACUUAUUGCCUGAAGGUACAACUGGUUCUCCUAUUCUUGUGCCUACAGCUCCCCUUCCACCUUCUGUUUUGCCAGCUGAAUCCACUAGAAGAUCCACCAGGGCCAGCAGACCUCCCAUUUGGUUGCAGGGCUUUGUUACUCAGCCACGAGGCAACACUUGUCUCUAUCCCUUAGCUGAUCAGCUCACAUAUUCUAAGUUGUCCAAAUCUUAUCAGCUAGUGUUAAAAGCAUAUUCAGCUGUCUGUGAGCCUGUGUCUUACAAUGAAGCUGCUUCUGAUCCUGCUUGGGUAAAAGCAAUGCAGUUAGAAAUUGAUGCCUUACAAAACAACAAGACAUGGAGUAUUGUUGAUCUUCCGCCUGGUAAAAAGCCAAUUGGUUGUCGGUGGAUUUAUAAGGUUAAAUACUUGUCAUCUGGAGAGGUGGAAAGGUUCAAGGCCAGACUAGUAGCCAAGGGGUUUAGCCAAAGAGAGGGCCUUGACUAUGGAGAAACAUUUAGCCCAGUCGCUAAGAUGGUUACAGUCAGAUCAAUUGUCGCACUAGCUGCCUCUAAAGGCUGGCACAUCUUUCAAAUGGAUGUUCACAAUGCCUUUCUCAAUGGAGAUCUUCUUGAGGAGGUCUACAUGGACAUUCCUUGUGGUUUUUCCAGACAGGGGGAGAGUCAUAAGGUCUGUAAAUUACACAAGUCUUUGUAUGGGCUCAAACAAGCACCAAGGCAGUGGAAUGUGAAACUAACAGAGGCUCUGGUAACUAUGGGGUUCAAGCAAAGUCAUUAUGAUUAUUCCUUGUUUACAAAAUUGGCUGGGAGUGAUAUUGUGGUAAUACUAGUCUAUGUAGAUGACUUAUUGAUCACUGGAAACAAUCACCAGCUGCUGUGUGACACUAGACUAGAAAUUCAAAAAAGUUCAAGAUGAAAGAUUUGGGGGAAUUGAAGUUCUUUCUUGGCAUUGAAUUCUCUAGGUCCAACAAGGGGAUAAUAAUGUCGCAAAGGAAGUAUGCCUUAGAGUUGAUAUCUGAAUCUGGCCUAGGGGGAGCAAAACCAGCUUGCACACCAUUGGAGAUUAAUCAAAAGCUCACAUCAGUCAAAUAUGAUGAGCACAUUAACAAUGGACAUGCUAGGGAUGAUGACAUUCUAACUGAUAUUACACAGUACCAAAGACUAGUAGGAAGGCUUUUAUAUCUUACCAUGACAAGACCUGAUAUUGCAUUCUCAGUACAGGUCUUAAGUCAGUUUAUGCAUUGCCCUAAACAAUCACAUAUGGAUGCAGCUCUAAGAGUCAUCAGAUAUAUCAAGAAAACACCUGGAUUAGGUUUGUUUAUGCCUGCAGAAGGCACCACUAUACUAACAGCCUACUGUGACUCUGACUGGGGAGCAUGCUUGGAAACCAGGAAGUCAGUCACAGGAUACUUGGUUAAGUUUGGAGGAGGACUCAUUUCUUGGAAGUCUAAGAAACAGGACACAGUUUCAAGGAGUUCUGCUGAAGCAGAGUUUAGAAGUAUGGCUGCAUGCACUGCUGAAGUAACCUGGUUGAUUGGUUUGUACAAAGAGCUAGGAAUUAAAGUAUCCUUGCCAGUGAAAAUGAUAUGUGACAGCAAAGCAGCAAUACAGAUUGCAGCUAAUCCUAUCUUUCAUGAGAGAACAAAACAUUUUGACAUUGAUUGUCACUUUGUUAGAGAAAGACUUUGUCAAGGAGUGAUCAGGACUGAACAUGUGAAGACUAAAGACCAACCAGCCGACCUACUUACUAAGGGCCUAGGGAUGAUGCAACACAAUGAGUUGAUGGAUCAGCUUGGACUGAAGAAUGUAUUUCAACCAUGAGCUUGAGGAGGAGUGUUGAUCAGUAUAGAGAAAUAACAAGCUACAUGUAUGAGUUAGUUAGUUAGUUAGUUAAAAGGGUCCAGAUCCCAAGAAUCAGUUAGUAAGUUUGUUAGAGUCAUAAGUGUGUAUAUAUACACUUCGGUAGCUGAUGCAUUAUUCAUUCACGUGUAAAACAAUGUAAAGGCAACUUGAUGUGAGCUCAAUAAUAUCUUCUCUUCCUCUCUUCUUCUCAACUCUUUCUCCAAUUACUUAAGAUCUUAAUCUCCAUUAAUGGAGUUAUCACAAGGAAUUAUAUUUUAGUCACAUUAGUAGGUUACUUUUAGGUCCAAUGUUUUCGGACAGUCUUUUGGUAAAAUAGAGAAUUUGCAUGGAUUUCUAUUUUUAAUUUUAUUUUAUGUAAUUGGACUAAGAUGAGAUCAAAUGAAGUGAUAUGAAUUCUUAUAUCUAACGUCAAUUUGUUUGGGAUUGAGGCGUUGUAGUAAUUUUUGUUGUAUUAUGCAUGUCUUGAAAUCUACCUCAUGAGCUUGAGCUGGCAUGAAAUCUGUUCAACAUUUCUUUUUUAUUUAAUAAACUCUUCUUUCAACUUAUAAUAUAUCUCUCCUUUGCUUCUUUUGCCAUUUGUUUUAAUUUGUUAAUUAAACAUUAACAAAUUGGUAUUAGAUCCUGUAACACCUCAUACUUUCGGGUUAAGAAUUGAACCGUUCUACGUAUCUAGUUAAACUCGGACUUGGUGAAUUUGUGUAUGUCAAGUCUCAAGUGUGAGAAUUGUGUUGGAUGUGAUUUAAGGUCAUAAGGAAAAUUUUGCACAAAGUUGAGUUAAAAGCAUCACUAUGAUGAAACUUGUUACAACGAAAAGGAAGAAGAACUUCAGGUCUACAAGGUGUAAAUAAUAGGAAAUCGCAGCUAUAAAUUGCUAUAGAAAAUCUGAAAGUGAAGAAGAAGGCUUAAGUUUUCUUUAGUUCAAUUGUUUUUUCACUAGAUGUUUCAUUACAUAUGGUUUAUUUAUAGAUAAAGUGUGAGAAUUACAACCACAUAAUAAGCAAAAUAUCUCACACCAAACUAUGUACCUGCGUGACUCACUAACCACCACUCAUUUUAAAUCAAGAUUAACAUAUCUACUACAAAAUAUCUCCAACCUCGGAGUUUCUAUACAAUUCUUACUUUUCUAACAUAUCUAAUACAAAAUAUCUCCAAUCUAGGAGUUUCUAGACAAAUCUUAAUUUUCUAACACUCCUCCUUAAUAUUUUUCAUUGAAACUCCUUGCAACAACCUUUGAAACUCAAACUUCUUAGUGGAAAGAGCCUUGGUCAGAAUAUCGGCCUGCUGAUCUUCACUGAUGCAAUGCACCAACUUAACUUCACCAUUCUUCUCGGCAUCUCUUAAAGCAUGAAACCUUAUGUUGAUAUGCUUUGUUCUUCCAUGCUUCAAUUGGUGUCAUAUCUUGGACUGCUCUAGUUGGUAAUUUAUAUAGCAAAUAGACAACGGUAUUGACUGCUUCAGCCCAAAAGUAUUUAGGCAUCUUCUUUUCUGCCAACAUGCAUCUCGCCAUCUCCAUCACUGUUCUUCCUCUCGGAAACCCCGUUCUGCUGUGGAGUGUAGCUAACAGUGAAUUGUUGUUGGAUACCCAAAUCUUUACAAUACUUGCUGAACUAAUACGAAGUAUAUUCAGUUCCAUUAUCGGAUCUAAUAUACUUCAAUUUAGAGCCACUCCCGUCCUCAUUGGUCCACAUAAAUCUGUAUGAACCAACUCUAGCUUUUCCUUAGCUCUCCAAAGACUUCCUUUAGGAAAGGAUUAUCUAUGCAUUUUACAAAAUUGACAUGACUCACAAACAUCUCUACACAGGUCAAUUUUGGGUACUUCAAGCACCAUACGGCCCUUUGAUUGCAUAUACACCAGUGAGCUAAGAUUAUAAUGACCGAACCUUUUGUGCCAAAGCUAAGUAUCGCUCAAUUCAACAUUAAAAGAGAAAGUAUCAAUAGAAUAGCAUGAAAUUGGAAAGGAAUUGUCAAUCAUGCUAAUUUUAGCUACUUCACAUCCUUUAGGAUCAUGACACAUUGUUUGUCCUUAAAAUUAAGAGAAUAAUUUUUAUGAAGCAAUUGAGCAACACUUGACAACUUUUGAGUCAAAUUUGGCACAUAAAGAACAUCAUUAAUAAUUUUCAUACCUUCAUCAGUAGAAAAUUUUACUGACCCUCUACCGUGAGCUUCCACCAAUGCGCCAUUUCCAAGCUUCACUUUGGUUCUAUCCGAUCUGUCCAAGGUAACAAACAGAUUUUCAUCAAUCGUCAUGUGCCUUUUGCACACACUAUCAACAUACCAUUUACAUUGGUCAAAAUGUGAUGUGUGCGAGGCCAUGAAAACCUCCUCUUUUGAUUUUCCAACUUGGUGAUCAUUCGCAAAAUUCACUCGAUGGGAAGACUGGCCACUUUGAUUUUGCUUUUGCCUAUAAUACUUCUCAAUGUGACCAUACUUCUUACAAUAUCUACAUUGAAUUGGAGACAUCUUUGAAUUCUGCCAACAAUUCUUCUCUAAGUGGUUUGUCUUCUUACAAAUGCCACAAGGUGGAAAUUUUCCUUUUAUCGACAAAUCACCUUGGUUUCCAUCAGAUUUUACCUCUCCAGAUUUAUCCAACCAGACUUUUCUACUUUCCUUUUGAUUUUUGAAUUUAUGCCUUGCUUGAAAGGCAUUUUCUACUAUCCCUUCACUUCUCAUAGUGACCCGUUGCUCUUGGACUUGCAAUUUGGAGAUUAGUUCGGCUAUUGUAAGAGUAGUCAAGUCACAAGACUCUUCAAUAGCUGAGAUUUUUUAUUUAAACUUGUCUGGAAGGCUAAUCAAGAUCUUCUCUACAACUUUCUGAUCUGGAAAGGUUUCACCAAGUAUUCUUAUUUGGUUCACAAUCUCCAUCAGCUUUGAACAAUAUUCUUUCACACUGAGUCUUUCAUCUUCAAAAGCUCAAACUCUCUCUUCAAUGCUAAGAGUCUAACAGACUUUAUUCUACUGGUGCCUUCAAACUCCUCUUUUAACUUAUCCCAAGCCUCUUUGGCUGUUUCACAAGUCAUAAUCCUCGUAAACAUCACGUCUGUAAGACUUGGAUGUCUGCAAGUGAGAGCUCGUGGGAUCUAGUCACCAACUCAUCAUACUUCUUAAUUUCAUUGAGAGUUGCAUUAACUCUCAAUGGACAACAGGUUCUCCAAGCUCAACAACUUCCCAUAAAUUGAGAGCCUUUAGAUAAGCCUUCAUUUUGAUGGCCCAUAUGUGAUAAUUCUCUCCGAUAAAAGUCGAAGGACCUGUCGUUGGUUGAUUUUCAGGUGCCAUAAAUUUUUUCAGCAAGCAAAUUCAAGAAAGAACAUAAAAUAGAUGAGCGAAACAAACAAAAUUUGAUUCAAAUCCCUUAGGAAGUAGGCUCUGAUACCAUGUUACAACGAAAAGGAAGAAGAACUUCAGGUCUACAAGGUGUAAACAAUAGGAAAUCGCAGCUGUAAAUUGCUACUGAAAAUCUGAAAGUGAAGAAGAAGGCUUAAGUUUUCUUGAGUUCAAUUUUUUUAUAAAGUGUGAGAAUUACAACCACAUAAUAAGCAAAAUAUCUCACACCAAAUUAUGUACCUAUGUGGCUCACUAACCACCACUCAUUUUAAAUCAAGACUAACAUAUCUACUACAAAAUAUCUCCAACCUAGGAGUUUCUAGACAAAUUCUUACUUUUCAAACAUAUCUAAUACAAAAAUAUCUCCAAUCUAGGAGUUUCUAGACAAAUCUUAAUUUUCUAACAAAACUCAUUUAAGUUUACAGAAGAGUCAACUUCAAAAAAGUAUAUCUACUAGAAUAGGAAAAGUUACGUGGCCUAUAACCUAUAAAAUUAAAGUUGUUUCAUUAUAGUUUCCAACGCAAUAAUUCAUCAGUCAAGCCGAUAUUUUUGUAAGAAGUUAUGCCUAUUUUACUGACAUUGCCAUGUUGCACGCCGGUUGCGUGCCCAAGCUAUCAGCUGUGCUAUAGUUCACUGACGGCAGUGCUACUGCCUUGAUGCGCAUCGGGUGUGUGUUAUGUACCCAAUCUUCAGCAAACUCAUAAUGGUAUUCCAAUUACACAAUAGCAAUUCUGGGAAAUAGCAAUAAUUAAUCAACUAAAUUAAACAACAACAAGAACUAGAAAGAGAUGAGAAGCCAGAUACUCAGAAAGGGGACGAGGGAACAUAGACUCUUCAUAACAAUUUUCAUAACCCGUUCUUUCUCAUCCUUGGUCCUUUUAGCUAGUUGUUAAUUGGGUCUGGGUCCCAAAUCAACCCUGGUAAAGGCCUUCCAAUUUUGUUGCUUCUUUUCGGCCCAAUAACUAGUUGUGUGGCCUUGGGCCGAGGCUGGUUCAUAACAGUGUGUGCACAAGACGUAUCUGUGCGACAGCGCGCACAUCAUUUUUUUUUUUGCGGAUAAGGUGUGUCUGAUCAUUGAUUCAAGUGGUCAGGAAUUAUUCAGAAUUAAAAUACAGUAAAAAAAGUAUUUCCUUGAAUCCGAUGGGGGAAGAACAUAUAGCUUUACCAAGUGAGUCCACUGUUGCAGAAACGGUUGGGUCACUUCCACCACCAGGAUCUUUUGUAUAUUCAGAAAAAUGAGCUACCGUAAAGGUUUACCUCCACUUGAAGAGGAACUCCGAAGUUGUGAGGCAUAUCAAUUUGGUAUGCAAACAAGAUUAUGAUUCACAAAAUCAACUUGGUGAGCAACUUAACAAUUGCAGCUGGUUCUUUUUGAAAUUUAACAGAAGUCCUUAUUUCACUAUAUCAGAAUUACAUGUAUAUAUAGACGAGAAAGAAUCUGCAGAAUCUUCUUCUUUAUAGGAUUUUAGUUUAAAUUAUUUGCUUUCUGUGAAUAAGAUGUGGUGUUAAAACCUAUCUCUACCUAUCUUCCUAUUUCAAUCAUGUUAAAUUUAUAUUUCUACCACAUUUGUGUAAGGAUUUUUGUUUGUUACCACUCGGUGUCGGAUAAGUCCCGAUUAUUUUGGAAUUUGAAAAGUUUCAUCUGCCUAUGAAAAACGGUUCCAUUUGAGGAUUUAAAAACAGAAUCACUAGUUAAACAACUUUGUUCGUUAGUUACGUGGAUAAAAAGAUCAUUUUAAUUGUUGGUAAAGUCACAACGCUGUCUUUAUAAGAUAAAGUUCUAAGGUGAAGCACAGAAAAUUAUAUAUGUUAAAUUAAAGCAAUUAAACAGCUUGGGACCCAACAAAUUAUAAUAAGUUUAACUAGCUAGUUGUUGUAUCCAACAAGUUGAUGUGACACCAUUAGCUAAAAGACAUUCCAAUAUAAAAACACCAUAAAUUUGAUAUCAUUACUUUGUAUUAUCAAUUCUUGUCAUAGUUAUGGGAAGAAAUUGCAAUUUCUGUUUGCUCUUGCAGUUUUCAUUAUGCUUCAUCACCAUAUUACUUCACUUGCUAAUAUUGACACUGAUAAAGCUGCUCUUCUUGCACUGAAAUCUCACAUUUCUUUUGAUCCUAACAACAUCCUAGCAACAAUUAAUUCCUAGUUGUUGGUUUACUUUGACACUAAUUUUCUUUCUAUGUCUUCAUUUUCUUGGACUCAUCAACCAUUAUCUUGACAAUUAUAUAUUCACUGCUUGAUUAAUCAAUUAUAAAUUACAAGAAAACAAGACUACUAAAAAUGCUCUGACAAUUCCCAUGAAUUCAUAUUUUUCUAAGAAAAAUGUGUUAUUUUUAUCUGCUUUAGCACAUAAAAAUCUCUUUCUUUAUCACAUUAGAAGUUAUUUCUGUUAUCACAUAAAAAUAGUGACAUUCGCCUUCUUGUGAUAUAUGUUUCAAGUUGUUUCUAAAUAGAGCUAGAGUUUUAGUUACAGAUUCGAAAGAACUCAAUAUAGAUUAAUGAAAAACUAUAUAUUUAUGUUAAUAAAUCCAGUUAAUAUGUAUAAAUAAUUUAGGGAAAAGGGGCAAAUUUUAGUUAUGAACUAUCGAAACUUUCUUGUUUAGAUAAUUUAGAAAUUGAUUGAUUUAGUUAAUAGUUAUUCAUAAGGUUUAUGUAAGAAGGAUACUUAAUUAAUUUCAUCGAUUUAUUUCAUGUUGACUUGGCUGUGCAUUUUAGGUCAACUAGUACUAUUGUCAUUUUACAUAUUAAUGAGUUAUUACCAAGAAAAAGUUUGAGUGUACUUAGCUUUUUCUACACAUUUUUUUGACUUUAUGGGUUAAUGCUUAAUAAGGUUCUCCAAUGCCAUAAGUGGUGCACUAAUACAACUUUGAUUACCAAAAGUUGGCACUCUUAAGUCUUAACCAAUCCAAUAAAUUUGACAUCAUUAACUAGGCCAUUCCUUUGCGAUAUCAAUUCAUUUAGAACAUAAAAAUAUCUUUCUUUUUAACGUUAGGGUUUAUUUCUAUUAUCACAUAAAAAUAGAGAAAUUCGUCUUCUUGUGAUGUUUCAAGUAGUUUCUAAACAGAGUUAGAGUUCUAGUUACACGUUCAAAAGAGAACUCAAUAUAGAUUAACGAAAAACUCUAUAUUUAUGUUAAUAAAUCCAGUUAAUAUGUACAAAUAAUUUAGGGAAAGGGGGUAAAUGAGUUAUUACCAAGAAAAAGUUUGAGUGUACUUAGCUUUUUCUACACAUUUUUUUGACUUUAUGGGUUAAUGCUUAAUAAGGUUCUCCAAUGCCAUAAGUGGUGCACUAAUACAACUUUGAUUACCAAAAGUUGGCACUCUUAAGUCUUAACCAAUCCAAUAAAUUUGACAUCAUUAACUAGGCCAUUCCUUUGCGAUAUCAAUUCAUUUAGAACAUAAAAAUAUCUUUCUUUUUAACGUUAGGGUUUAUUUCUAUUAUCACAUAAAAAUAGAGAAAUUCGUCUUCUUGUGAUGUUUCAAGUAGUUUCUAAACAGAGUUAGAGUUCUAGUUACACGUUCAAAAGAGAACUCAAUAUAGAUUAACGAAAAACUCUAUAUUUAUGUUAAUAAAUCCAGUUAAUAUGUACAAAUAAUUUAGGGAAAGGGGGUAAAUGAGUUAUUACCAAGAAAAAGUUUAGGUCAACUAGUACUAUUGUCAUUUUACAUAUUAAUGAGUUAUUACCAAGAAAAAGUUUGAGUGUACUUAGCUUUUUCUACACAUUUUUUUGACUUUAUGGGUUAAUGCUUAAUAAGGUUCUCCAAUGCCAUAAGUGGUGCACUAAUACAACUUUGAUUACCUAAAGUUGGCACUCUUAAGUCUUAACCAAUCCAAUAAAUUUGACAUCAUUAAAAUGAUUUUUUUUUAAUUGAAAUAUAUUUGAAAUUUAAAAAAUAAGAAAAUUUAAUAUAUAUUUUUUUUGAAUGGGGAGGGUCGGGCACUACGUAAUCUUGUAUGUAAGAUAAUAUAAUGUUUUAGUUUUAAUGAUUGAUAAGUUUUAAGUAUUAUUUUAUAAAUUUCAUGAUAUUAAAUUCCCACGCGAGGUGCGAAUAAUUUUACUUGUUAUUUUAAUGAAUUUGAUAUGAUUAAAUAGGUCUUCUAACAGCAUUGCUUUGCAUUAUCAAUUCUUCUUGCCAUAGUUAUGGACACAAGUUAUACUCUCCUCUUUGCUCAACUUUCAAUUUUCAUUCUGCUUCUUAACCAUACUUCACUUGCUAAUAUUAGCACUGAUGGAGCUGCUCUUCUUGCACUUAAAUCACACAUUUCUUCUCAUCCUAACAACAUCUUAGCAAGCAACUGGUCUUCUUCAACCUCGGUUUGCAGCUGGAUUGGAAUCACUUGCAGCUCCCGCCACCAUCGAGUCACUGCUUUAGACAUUUCUAGCAUGCAACUUCAUGGUACCAUUACUCCACACCUUGGAAACCUCUCAUUUCUUGUUUCCCUCAACAUCAGUAAUAACGCUUUUCAUGGAGAUUUGCCACAAGAGUUGGCUCGUUUGCAGAGGUUGAAAGUGAUUGAUGUCACAAGCAAUAACUUCACCGGAGAAUUUCCGUCAUUUUUAAGUUUGUUACCAAAUUUACACAUUAUGUACCUCUGGAGAAACCAAUUUUCAGGUAAAAUUCCAUCCUCCCUUUCCAAUCUGACAAAACUGCAAGUGUUGUCAAUACAGAACAAUUUUCUCCAAGGAGAGAUCCCUCGGGAACUCGGUCAUCUUCGUUACCUGAGUAUCCUAGACCUGCAAUAUAAUGGACUUACAGGCUCUAUACCAUCAUCAAUCUUUAACAUUACUACAAUGCAAGUAAUUGCUCUUACAGGCAACAAUCUUACUGGAAAGCUUCCAAAAACUAUAUGUGACCAUCUUCCAAACUUGGAAGGGCUUCACCUCACAAGCAACUCCCUAGAUGGAGUUAUUCCACCAAACCUUGAGAAAUGCCGAAAACUUCAAAUAUUGUCAUUGUCUUACAAUGAGUUUAUUGGAAUUGUACCAAGAGAGCUGGCCAACUUAACAGCUCUUACAGAAUUAUAUCUCGGAGAUCUGCAUUUGGAAGGUAGUAUGAUAUUUCCUUACAAGAAAAAUGAAAAUUUUCUUCCUUUUCUCUCUUCCGCUAAACUGGUAACUCAUAUACUUCCUGAAAUUGACAGGAGAGAUCCCUCGAGAAAUCAGUGAUCUUCGUUACUUGACUAUCCUAGAUCUGCAAUUUAAUCAACUUAGUGGCUCUAUACCACCAUCAAUCUUCAACAUUACCACAAUGCAAGUAAUUGCUCUUACGGGCAACAAUCUUACUGGAAAGCUUCCAAAAACUAUAUGUGACCAUCUUCCAAACUUGCAAAGGCUUUACCUCUCAAAGAACUCCUUAGAUGGAGUUAUUCCACCAAGCCUUGAGAAAUGCCGAAAACUUCAAAUAUUGUCAUUGUCUUACAAUGAGUUUAUUGGAAUUGUACCAAGAGAGCUGGCCAACUUAACAGCUCUUACAGAAUUAUAUCUCAGAGCCCUGCAUUUGGAAGGUAGUAUGAUAUUUCCUUACAAGAUAAAUGAAAAUUUUCUUCCUUUUCUCUCUUCCGCUAAACUGGUAACUCAUAUACUUCCUGAAAUUGACAGGAGAGAUCCCUCGAGAAAUCAGUGAUCUUCGUUACUUGACUAUCCUAGAUCUGCAAUUUAAUCAACUUAGUGGCUCUAUACCACCAUCAAUCUUCAACAUUACCACAAUGCAAAUCAUUGAUUUUACUGGCAAUAAUCUUACUGGUAAGCUUCCACCAAGCCUCGAGAAAUGCAGAAAGCUUCAAGUCUUGGCAUUGUCGCUCAAUGAGUUUAUAGGAACUAUACCAAGAGAGAUAGCCAACUUAACAGUUCUUACAGAAUUAUAUCUCAAAGCUCUGCAUUUGGAAGGUAGUAUGAUAUUUCCUUACAAGAAAAAUGAAAAUUUUCUUCCUUUUCUCUCUUCCGCUAAACUGGUAACUCAUAUACUUCCUGAAAUUGACAGGAGAGAUCCCUCGAGAAAUCAGUGAUCUUCGUUACUUGACUAUCCUAGAUCUGCAAUUUAAUCAACUUAGUGGCUCUAUACCACCAUCAAUCUUCAACAUUACCACAAUGCAAAUCAUUGAUUUUACUGGCAAUAAUCUUACUGGUAAGCUUCCACCAAGCCUCGAGAAAUGCAGAAAGCUUCAAGUCUUGGCAUUGUCGCUCAAUGAGUUUAUAGGAACUAUACCAAGAGAGAUAGCCAACUUAACAGUUCUUACAGAAUUAUAUCUCAAAGCUCUGCAUUUGGAAGGUAGUAUGAUAUUUCCUUACAAGAAAAAUGAAAAUUUUCUUCCUUUUCUCUCUUCCGCUAAACUGGUAACUCAUAUACUUCCUGAAAUUGACAGGAGAGAUCCCUCGAGAAAUCAGUGAUCUUCGUUACUUGACUAUCCUAGAUCUGCAAUUUAAUCAACUUAGUGGCUCUAUACCACCAUCAAUCUUCAACAUUACCACAAUGCAAAUCAUUGAUUUUACUGGCAAUAAUCUUACUGGUAAGCUUCCACCAAGCCUCGAGAAAUGCAGAAAGCUUCAAGUCUUGGCAUUGUCGCUCAAUGAGUUUAUAGGAACUAUACCAAGAGAGAUAGCCAACUUAACAGUUCUUACAGAAUUAUAUCUCAAAGCUCUGCAUUUGGAAGGUAGUAUGAUAUUUCCUUACAAGAAAAAUGAAAUUUUUCUUCCUUUUCUCUCUUCCGCUAAACUGGUAACUCAUAUACUUCCUGAAAUUGACAGGAGAGAUCCCUCGAGAAAUCAGUGAUCUUCGUUACUUGACUAUCCUAGAUCUGCAAUUUAAUCAACUUAGUGGCUCUAUACCACCAUCAAUCUUCAACAUUACCACAAUGCAAAUCAUUGAUUUUACUGGCAAUAAUCUUACUGGUAAGCUUCCACCAAGCCUCGAGAAAUGCAGAAAGCUUCAAGUCUUGGCAUUGUCGCUCAAUGAGUUUAUAGGAACUAUACCAAGAGAGAUAGCCAACUUAACAGUUCUUACAGAAUUAUAUCUCAAAGCUCUGCAUUUGGAAGGUAGUAUGAUAUUUCCUUACAAGAAAAAUGAAAUUUUUCUUCCUUUUCUCUCUUCCGCUAAACUGGUAACUCAUAUACUUCCUGAAAUUGACAGGAGAGAUCCCUCGAGAAAUCAGUGAUCUUCGUUACUUGACUAUCCUAGAUCUGCAAUUUAAUCAACUUAGUGGCUCUAUACCACCAUCAAUCUUCAACAUUACCACAAUGCAAAUCAUUGAUUUUACUGGCAAUAAUCUUACUGGUAAGCUUCCACCAAGCCUCGAGAAAUGCAGAAAGCUUCAAGUCUUGGCAUUGUCGCUCAAUGAGUUUAUAGGAACUAUACCAAGAGAGAUAGCCAACUUAACAGUUCUUACAGAAUUAUAUCUCAAAGCUCUGCAUUUGGAAGGUAGUAUGAUAUUUCCUUACAAGAAAAAUGAAAUUUUUCUUCCUUUUCUCUCUUCCGCUAAACUGGUAACUCAUAUACUUCCUGAAAUUGACAGGAGAGAUCCCUCGAGAAAUCAGUGAUCUUCGUUACUUGACUAUCCUAGAUCUGCAAUUUAAUCAACUUAGUGGCUCUAUACCACCAUCAAUCUUCAACAUUACCACAAUGCAAAUCAUUGAUUUUACUGGCAAUAAUCUUACUGGUAAGCUUCCACCAAGCCUCGAGAAAUGCAGAAAGCUUCAAGUCUUGGCAUUGUCGCUCAAUGAGUUUAUAGGAACUAUACCAAGAGAGAUAGCCAACUUAACAGUUCUUACAGAAUUAUAUCUCAAAGCUCUGCAUUUGGAAGGUAGUAUGAUAUUUCCUUACAAGAAAAAUGAAAUUUUUCUUCCUUUUCUCUCUUCCGCUAAACUGGUAACUCAUAUACUUCCUGAAAUUGACAGGAGAGAUCCCUCGAGAAAUCAGUGAUCUUCGUUACUUGACUAUCCUAGAUCUGCAAUUUAAUCAACUUAGUGGCUCUAUACCACCAUCAAUCUUCAACAUUACCACAAUGCAAAUCAUUGAUUUUACUGGCAAUAAUCUUACUGGUAAGCUUCCAACAACUAUAUGUGACCAUCUUCCAAACUUGGAAGGGCUUCACCUCACAAGCAACUCCCUAGAUGGAGUUAUUCCACCAAGCCUCGAGAAAUGCAGAAAGCUUCAAGUCUUGGCAUUGUCGCUCAAUGAGUUUAUAGGAACUAUACCAAGAGAGAUAGCCAACUUAACAGUUCUUACAGAAUUAUAUCUCAAAGCUCUGCAUUUGGAAGGUAGUAUGAUAUUUCCUUACAAGAAAAAUGAAAUUUUUCUUCCUUUUCUCUCUUCCGCUAAACUGGUAACUCAUAUACUUCCUGAAAUUGACAGGAGAGAUCCCUCGAGAAAUCAGUGAUCUUCGUUACUUGACUAUCCUAGAUCUGCAAUUUAAUCAACUUAGUGGCUCUAUACCACCAUCAAUCUUCAACAUUACCACAAUGCAAAUCAUUACUCUUACUGACAAUAAUCUUACUGGUAAGCUUCCACCAAGCCUCGAGAAAUGCAGAAAGCUUCAAGUCUUGGCAUUGUCGCUCAAUGAGUUUAUAGGAACUAUACCAAGAGAGAUAGCCAACUUAACAGCUCUUACAGAAUUAUAUCUCGAAACUCUGCAUUUGGAAGGUAGUAUGAUAUUUCUUUACAAGAAAAAUGAAAAUUUUCUUCCUUUCGGAGCUCUGCAUAAGGUAAGUGUAACUCAUAUAUUUCCCAAAAUUGACAGGAGAGAUACCAAUGGAGCUAGGUAAUCUUAAGAAACUUCAGGUACUGCAGUUAGCAGAAAAUGAGCUUACUGGCUCUGUUCCUGACAGCAUUUUCAACAUGUCAGCACUGAAGAUUAUAGAUUUUGGACAAAACAAGCUUUCAGGUACUCUACCUUCAGAUUUAGGUCGUAGAAUUCCCAACCUAGAAGUAUUUCUUUGUGGAGGAAAUAAUCUGAGUGGUUUUAUCUCUGAUUCAAUCACAAAUUCUUCAAGACUCAGAAUGUUUGACAUCUCAUUCAACAGUUUCACAGGUCCAAUUCCUAAAUCAUUUGGUAACUUAGAAUACCUUGAGAUUCUUAACUUAGAGAUGAAUAAUUUUAUCAGUGAUUCAUCAUUGAGCUUCCUUACAUCAUUAACAAACUGUAGGAAACUAAGAGCACUCCGAUUUAAUGAGAAUGCAUUGGAUGGGGCAUUACCAGCGUCUGUUGGUAAUUUCUCAAACUCGAUGCAAAAUUUUCAAGGAAAUGGCUGUAAGCUAAAGGGCGUCAUUCCUCGAGAAAUCGGUAAUCUUACUGGAGUGAUACAUAUGAGUCUGUUUAACAAUAAGUUGGCUGGACAUAUUCCAAAUACUGUCCAAGACAUGUUGAACCUCCAAGAAUUUUAUCUACAUAGCAAUGAGAUUAAAGGUACCAUACCAAAUGUUAUAUGCAGUUUAAAGAAUCUUGGUGCAUUAGACUUGUCAGGAAAUCAUUUUUCUGGUUCAGUGCCCUCAUGCUUAGGGAAUGUAACUAGUUUGAGGUAUCUUAAUCUAGCUUACAACAGGCUGAAUUCAAGAUUACCUGCAAACUUGGGGAGCCUUCAAGAUCUCAUUGAAUUAAGUGUUUCAUCCAAUUCAUUAAGUGGUCAUAUUCCUCUGGAGUUGGGAAAUUUAAAGGCAGUAACACUAAUUGAUUUGUCAAAAAAUGAUUUUUCUGGUAAAAUUCCUAGCACUUUAGGAGGUCUAGCUGAAUUGAUUAAUCUUCCUCUAGCACAUAAUAGAUUAGAGGGGCCUAUUCCAGAUUCAUUUGGCAAAUUGUUGGCAUUGGAAUUCUUGGAUUUGUCUUAUAACAAUCUUAGUGGUGAAAUUCCAAAGUCAUUAGAAGCUCUAGUGUAUCUCAAAUACAUGAAUUUCUCAUUCAAUAAACUCAGUGGAGAAAUUCCCAUUGGUGGUCCUUUUGUAAAUGUCACUAGUCAAUCCUUCUUGUCCAAUGAUGCACUUUGUGGUGACUCCCGGUUUAACAUAAAACCAUGUCAAACUAAAUCUACAAAGAAGUCAAGAAGAAAAAGAGUGCUUAUAGGUUUAUAUACGCUGUUAGGGAUUGGGUCGCUCUUUGUGUUGGUAGUUGGAUAUGUGGUGUUAAGAUUGAGAAAGACAAAGAAGAAUGCAAGUCAAGCAGAUGUGUCUCUGGUAAAAGAACAUGAAAGAAUUUCCUAUUAUGAACUUGAACAUGCAACAGAAGGAUUCGACGAAAGCAACUUGCUUGGUACAGGGAGUUUUAGUGUGGUCUACAAAGGGAUACUUAAGGAUGGUACUCUUUUGGCAGCAAAGGUAUUCAAUGUGCAAUUGGAGGGUGCAUUUAAAAGUUUUGAUACGGAAUGUGAGAUACUCCGGAACCUUCGCCACAGAAAUCUGACCAAAGUUAUUACAAGCUGUGCCAACCUUGAUUUCAAGGCCCUGGUGUUGGAAUACAUGCCCAAUGGGACACUUGAUAAAUGGUUAUACUCCCACAACUUGUUCUUGAACUUAUUACAGAGAUUGGA
Molecule: long non-coding RNA, 20440 nt
Filed under: Solanum tuberosum (potato)
Lineage: Eukaryota; Viridiplantae; Streptophyta; Magnoliopsida; Solanales; Solanaceae
Description: long non-coding RNA (STUB_LNC006104)
Source: RNAcentral